GACGAACGCUGGCGGCGUGGAUUAGGCAUGCAAGUCGAACGGUAGGAUACCUCGGGUAUCUGAGAGUGGCGAACGGGUGAGUAACACGUAGGUGAUCUACCCUCAAGAUUGGGACAACCCAGGGAAACUUGGGCUAAUACCGGAUGAAAGCAGCAGUGAUGUUGUUUGAAAGGUGGCGUAAGCUGCCGUUUGGGGAUGAGCCUGCGCUCUAUUAGUUAGUUGGCGGGGUAAAGGCCCACCAAGGCGAUGAUAGAUAGGCGGCCUUAACGGGUGGUCGCCCACACUGGGAUUGAGAUACGGCCCAGACUCCUACGGGAGGCAGCAGUCGAGAAUAGUCUACAAUGGCCGAAAGGCUGAUAGUGCGACGCCGCGUGAACGAAGAAGCCCUUCGGGGUGUAAAGUUCUUUUAUAUGUGAGCAGUGCUUUCUAUGUGAACAGCAUGGGGAGAGAGAUAUUAGCAUAUGAAUAAGCAACGGCUAACUCCGUG
Molecule: ribosomal RNA, 487 nt
Filed under: uncultured bacterium
Lineage: Bacteria
Description: bacterial SSU rRNA
Rfam family: Bacterial small subunit ribosomal RNA
Source: RNAcentral